Molecule: transfer RNA, 72 nt
Filed under: Chitinophagaceae bacterium
Lineage: Bacteria; Pseudomonadati; Bacteroidota; Chitinophagia; Chitinophagales; Chitinophagaceae
Also listed under: 1 other name
Description: tRNA-Asn
Rfam family: tRNA
About the family: Transfer RNA (tRNA) molecules are approximately 80 nucleotides in length. Their secondary structure includes four short double-helical elements and three loops (D, anti-codon, and T loops).
Source: RNAcentral
GGAUGAAAAGCUCAAUGGUUGAGCAGCGGUUUGUUAAGCCGUUGGUUGAAAGUUCGAAUCUUUCUUCAUCCG